Long non-coding RNA from Nicotiana attenuata, 1667 nucleotides. RefSeq lists it as uncharacterized. The record is from RefSeq and is a predicted model, not a curated record. The transcript has 2 exons. NCBI's taxonomy places the organism in Eukaryota, Viridiplantae, Streptophyta, Magnoliopsida, Solanales, Solanaceae.
AACUACCUAAUUCCCCCAAAACCCCACUCAUUCUUUAGAGACCAACCUCCUUUGUUUCCUUUCCUCUCUCUUUUCUUUUUUCUCCAUAGAGCAUCAAUCAGUGAGACACUCAAAAUCGAAACAAAAUAUUCAUCUUCCAACCGAUAAUAUCACUGAGAUUUCCUUCUCUGUCACUCAAUUUGAAUCCCAAACCUUGAAACCCUAAGACCAAAAUGUACAAGCGAGAGUAUUAUCCUUUCUUCUCCUGCUCAUUCAAAUCAACACAUGCAAGUUGUUGAUUCAUGAGAAUCUUGACCAUAUUAUGAUGAUUCAUGGUCCGAUGAUCCUUUGGUUCCAACGACCGAUUUCCUUUACCAUUUUCGUGACAAGGUAACUUCUUUAUGAUUAUUCCCAUGUGUUUUCCCAUCUUUUCUACCUUUUGCACUCAUCAGUAACUCAAUCGUCAUCCUUUCAAAUUCAAACGAACCCUAAGGCUCCAAUGACCACUAUUAAUAUGAGCUUUUAAUGCUCUCACAAAACACACAGACAAACACUUAGAACAAGACGAACUACAUAAGGAGCUUAAUAAAUACUACAUGUUAAAUACUUUGAGUUUCUUCUCUAAUUUUUUCUCUCUUUUUUCUGCUCGAGUUCGACUACUGCGAGUUGAUUGGGAGAUCAAGCUCCUAAAUGUCUAGUGAUUGCCUCUACUUGGUUUGCUGCUCCGAAGAAGGACUAUUCUAUAAUGAUGUUCUACAACCUGCUUUGGUGAUGUAAGCUUACCUUGAGAAAGUUCUGUUUAACUGGACCUUUUAUGAAGUGUUGAACCUCUGAUAAGGUUAGUAAUGAGUCCAUGUGUUUGUUAGCUGCUAAUGCCUUAAGCCACUUAGGGUGGCAUUAUUGAAUGAUGAAAUUGGUAGUAGCAUGGAGGGAAUGACUAUAGAGGUAUAUCGUUGAUCAUAUGUAAUGGCCCUUUCUUGAUUAUGUAUGUGGUUCUAAGGAUAUUAUUUAAGUGUUGUGUUCCAUUGAAUGUUUUAGAUUCAACCUUUAAACCUUUUGAAAUUGUUAAAGGAUUAUGAGAACUUACAUGUACUAAUAGCAUGUUGUUUGAUAAAUGAUCAAAAUUUUGAAAUUCUAACAUGUAAUGGUUCUUGGCUGUUUUGUCCUAUGGUGAUGAAUUCAAUUCCUAAUGUGCUAUUUUCCUAAGUUGUUAGUAUUUUUGUAUGAUUGAGUUUCUGGAGUAUAUUCAGAUGGUUUGAGACACUAUAUUGAAUUGCUCUGAUUCUGCUAGUUUGUUCUAUAUUAAUUGUGUGAACUUCUAGGGUACAUGUUUGAUUAAAUGUUAGGUUGAGAUCUCAUUUGUGCCUAUACCACUGAAGAGGAGUGAGGUUCAAUACUUAAGGCUGGUUGUGUGGGCUUGACAUUAUGGUUGAGGAACCCCUCUCUAGCACAAGCACUGCUUGGGAUCCAAGAGACCCUCGUAAACUCUAAUGUGUCAGGGGUUCAUAGGGGAGCCUCAUAAGUAAAUAUGGUUCACCCUAGGCCUAUGAGUACAGAACAUAAUUAAUCUUCAUGGGAUUAGCAUAAAUGACACUGGGCUUUACUAUAUCUCUUCAAAUCUUGUCCAUAUUUAUUAUAAAUUAAUCUCACUUUACACUUUAUUUGUAUAUGUAAAUUAGUUAUCCCUA